UACAGAGGGGGCGAGCGUUGUUCGGAAUUACUGGGCGUAAAGGGCGCGUAGGCGGCCCGCUAAGUCGAACGUGAAAUCCCCGAGCUCAACUCGGGAACUGCGUCCGAUACUGGUGGGCUUGAAUCCGGGAGAGGGAUGCGGAAUUCCAGGUGUAGCGGUGAAAUGCGUAGAUAUCUGGAGGAACACCGGUGGCGAAGGCGGCAUCCUGGACCGGCAUUGACGCUGAGGCGCGAAAGCUAGGGGAGCAAACGGG
RNAcentral lists this ribosomal RNA (253 nucleotides) under uncultured bacterium. RNAcentral's name for it is "partial 16S ribosomal RNA". It matches the Rfam family "Bacterial small subunit ribosomal RNA", at positions 524 to 776 of the family's 1533-position model. The record is from RNAcentral.